GACGAACGCUGGCGGCGUGCCUAAUACAUGCAAGUAGAACGCUGAAGGAGGAGCUUGCUUCUCUGGAUGAGUUGCGAACGGGUGAGUAACGCGUAGGUAACCUGCCUGGUAGCGGGGGAUAACUAUUGGAAACGAUAGCUAAUACCGCAUAAUAGCAGUUAUUGCAUGAUAACUGUUUGAAAGGUGCAAUUGCACCACUACCAGAUGGACCUGCGUUGUAUUAGCUAGUUGGUGGGGUAACGGCUCACCAAGGCGACGAUACAUAGCCGACCUGAGAGGGUGAUAGGACACACUGGGACAGAGACACGGCCCAGACUCCUACGGGAGGCAGCAGUAGGGAAUCUUCGGCAAUGGACGGAAGUAUGACCGAGCAACGCCGCGUGAGUGAAGAAGGUUUUCGGAUCGUAAAGAUCUGUUGUAAGAGAAGAACGAGUGUGAGAGUGGAAAGUUCACACUGUGACGGUAUCUUACCAGAAAGGGACGGCUAACUAAGUG
RNAcentral lists this ribosomal RNA (495 nucleotides) under uncultured bacterium. RNAcentral's name for it is "partial 16S ribosomal RNA". It matches the Rfam family "Bacterial small subunit ribosomal RNA", at positions 28 to 507 of the family's 1533-position model. The record is from RNAcentral.